GAUGAAGAACGUAGCGAAAUGCGAUAAGUAAUGUGAAUUGCAGAAUUCAGUGAAUCAUCGAAUCUUUGAACGCACAUUGCGCCCCCUGGUAUUCCGGGGGGCAUGCCUGUCCGAGCGUCAUUACAACCCUCAAGCUCAGCUUGGUAUUGGGCCCCGCCGCUCCGGCGGGCCCUAAAGUCAGUGGCGGUGCCGUCCGGCUCCGAGCGUAGUAAUUCUUCUCGCUCUGGAGGUCCGGUCGUGUGCUCGCCAGCAACCCCCAAUUUUUUUCAGGUUGACCUCGGAUCAGGUAGGGAUACCCGCUGAACUUAAGCAUAUCAAAUAAGCGGAGGA
RNAcentral lists this unclassified non-coding RNA (330 nucleotides) under soil metagenome. RNAcentral describes it as "partial contains 5.8S ribosomal RNA, internal transcribed spacer 2, and large subunit ribosomal RNA". The stretch from base 1 to 120 matches the Rfam family "5.8S ribosomal RNA", at positions 35 to 154 of the family's 154-position model. The record is from RNAcentral.